Pelmatolapia mariae (spotted tilapia) is the source of this 5849-nucleotide long non-coding RNA. RefSeq lists it as uncharacterized. The transcript has 2 exons. Lineage: Eukaryota; Metazoa; Chordata; Actinopteri; Cichliformes; Cichlidae. The record is from RefSeq and is a predicted model, not a curated record.
UCACAGUCUACAAUAUUUGGUAUCUGUUCUCCAAACCUGCUGCUUCUCCCCCACCCGCCAUGCUUUCCUUCUCCAUUUCCUCUUUCUGUGAGUGCUCUUGUUGCCCGAGGUCAGUUUGUCACGGAGAACACAAGCUUUUCUCACUUGGACACAGCGAUUCAAUGAUUGGUGUGUACAAACAAUCAUAUCAGGCAGGGAUGACAUGCACCCACCUCCCCACCCACCUCUCUCACACCCUCCUCUCUCCUACAGACAUGGAAUAUGUCCUUCCUGCUCUCUGUGCUACUGUCUGUCUCUCACUCACACUCUGUGGGAGUGACUGUCCCCUGCAUGAGAUGGGUUACACAAGCCUCUGCCUUGGGAAUCCCGGUCCUGCUCAUUAUCCUGCGCCCCUGAGACACAGCUCAUUGUAAAUUAGGACAUCAAAUCGGGCUCGUUAAAGAGCCACAGAUACACUCAUUAGCAUUGGCACCUUUCCUCUUUAGUGCCUGUAUCAGCAUUCGCUCCCACCACCUUAUAUCCUGUUAUUCCUUCGCGCUGACUGGAAGGUUUAGGAUUAAUGUCAGUUCUAGCCAACGGGUUAGCACAGUUGUGGUUCAGAUAUGGGACUGAUUGAUCGAUGGUGGCGGGAAGCUGUGGAAUUUGUUGACAGCUGCCAACUAUCCCCACCACUUCUAUUCAUAUUUCAUUGUGUGGAAGGGGAGGGAAAAAAAAACCCUGUCUCAGAAUAACUCGUCUGGCAAGUGGCUGACUAGUUGUUUCACAGCUACAAGGGAUUAGCAAAAUGACUGAGACAUCUCAUACCUUGCAAAUGAUGCCUAGUUGGUUGAUUUGUCAACAUUUUUGCUGAUUUUGAGCAAAAAAAUGACCAUGACUUGGAUGCGUAUUUGCUUUAUAUAUAGGUGAAAGUGACUCUUCUCUUUGGCGUCAUGCUCUGUAUCAGUUUGUGCACUUACAUAAGGAUACACAUGCCCAGCCUCCAACAUGCAGUUGGCAGCAGCCGCACGGCAACAAAGGCAGUGAAGAGGAAGGCCGCUUGUGUUUAACAAUUUUGCUAAACUUGAAGGAUGCAGACAGUGUGUUUUGGCAGCAUUUUCAAUGCCAACAAUCAAAAACAGGAAACUUGGGGACCUCUUCUGAUUUUAGAAGGAAAAUGUUGCAUUUCAAGAACCCACAUGGGCUUCUGUCCAAUGAGAUAGACACCUGCCUUGGCAUGGUUGGUUGGCUGCAGGACUGGAAGACUCCAACAGCUAGGAAAAAUGUGUUUGAUUGGCAGACAAGUGAAGUGCAACAAUUGAUGGCAUUUGACCGUGAGCAUGAGGGAACAAUGAAAUGAAAUGAGUGGAGACUUGGGACAGGCCCUAAUGAGCCAUCUUCGCCUUAGUGGUGUUGCAAUCAUGGAUGUCCUGGUUUCUUUGCUGAUGUCUGUUCCUCUUUAGAUGUGAUGAUUUAUGCAAAAUGAGUGUAUCAGGUAGUGGGCUUGUCUCACAGAAGCAAACCAUGCAUCUUCAAAUGGACCAACAUGGAAUGGAAACUUUCAGAUAUGGGGAGCAAAAUUAUAGACCUGACAGGAGCAAAUAUAAUAGCUUGUCCUAACCUUCCAUCACUGUCUUGUGUCAAUCCAUACCAGCCACACUCCAUGUGUGUAAGACCCAACUGCUCUUUACUGUGAAAAUAUGUCAGCAUGAUUCAUAUCAAACAUUUGUUCUUUUUGUACCUGACUGGAGAUUUUCUCAUAUCCAGCAUGCUCUCCUAUCUGUCAUUGAGCUGCAGUAAAUUAGAAAUCUGAGCAUGCGGUUCUUGUCAUCAUGCUGUCUCAGUGGAUCCCCAAUGAUUAAUUGCUUAAAAAAAGAAGAAGAAGAAGAAAGAAACAGAUAAUGUCACAAGGAUUUAGUCUCUUUUUCAUACAUUUUUCCCCCAUCUCCUCUGCAUGCUGUCUGACCUCUGGUAGCAUGCAGCCAGUGGGUGAUUGAGUCAUCCCUCUUGCAUGUCGUCACUUCACUUCAUCCGUGUCUAUAAACUUCACCUCAUCUUGAUCCUGCUCUUCUCCUCCCCCAGGACCCAGUCAUCCUCCUCUUCCGUGGUUUCAGCUAAAACGAGGGCUAAUCAGAGCAUGUCAAGCAAGCAUUAGUUGCCACGCAUUUGUCGAUCACUGUAAUUAUCCACCCUCACUAAAUCAUUUAUUCAGUUUGGUUUACAUCUCCAAAACACAAGUAGUCAUUCAUCGUUUCACUCCCGGCGUGUUCAGCAUCCAGUCUUUUCAAACUGUUAUGUAAGUAUAAUUUUAAAUACAGUAUAAGACAAAGAUGGAAAUUCAUAAGUUAUUAUGGAACUUAAAAUAGUUGGUCCGUAGACAUGUUAACAACAUAGCUGGAAAAAAAAAUCCACACAAAACCGAUUUAGUAACGUGUUAGAGGUGUGUGAUGACUGUUUUACUCUUGUAGUCCGCAAAUCAUGAAAAAAGGUUGUCAUUCAAACUCUAUUAUUGAGUUCUUUGUUAUCACACUACAGGAACAUUUUCUACAAAACAGACAUUGCAGGUAUGCAAGGACACUUCAGAGGCCUAAGGCUCAGAUAAAGGCAGUUGAGCUGUAUGAACCUGUGAAAUUCAGUUCACAGGUUUUAAUGAAAUUAUAAAAGACAGCAUCAUCAGGGCCAGCCAGACUAAGGGAAACACCUGAAGUGGUUUAGUUUUGUCUUCUUUUCUAGAAAACAUCUCAUAACAAGUUUUAAGACAAAACUGAGUAAUAUGAAUAAGGCUAUGAAGGUGUAUAUAUAAAUAUAUGUCCUGCCAGUUUAUAGAGGUGCAGAGGUGGUGAUUGAUUUAUUGGAACUAUUUUUUCCAGGGUGAAAUGACUGUACAGCAUACUUCUUUAAUGACUUUAACAAAAUAAGAAUUGCGUGCACAAGUCUGAAAUUAUUUUGGAUUUUCUCUAAUUCACACAGAGUCAAAUUGUAAACAUAGAGGCUCAAAUAUAUACAUACACUCAUCUUUUUAUAACUGGUGCUGAAAAUUCUAUGAUGCCUUUCUUUAGUAUUCAGAAUUGACUAGAGCUGGUUCUUUCUCUUUGCCAACAUGAAAUGAUUUGUUUGACAGCACUCAUCGGACUGAUCAUAAUUCAGAGCAGUGAGAAAGUCCAAGCAACUCAGUGAAGAUCUAAAAUAGAGAAUUUACAUAUGUUGGGAAGGUCUCUUGGAGCUAUUUCUAAACAACUGGCAUUUCCAGGAUCAUCAAUUAAAUAGUUUAAUAUAAGUACAAGUUAUUCUCAUAUGUCAAUGACACAAACCAGCCAAGGUUUGGAGGAAAAUUCAAUCAAUCACCCUCAGAUGAGAAAAAAUUGGUUAGGACCUUCAGGAACAACCAAGGAACCAACAAAGCUCAAGCCUGUCAUGAAUUGAAUAUGCGGAAACACCAGCAUCACUGUCUACAGUGAACCAAGUUUUACAUCAUCUGUACUGAGAGGGUGCUGCAUAUAAGUGAUAGCAUCAUGCUCUGGGGCUGUUUUGAUGCCAGUGGUGCUGGUACAUUGUACAGAGUUGAUGGAAUAAUGAAGCAAGGAGUACUACCUUCAAAUUUUUCAACUUCAACUCAACAGGUAGACAAUUGGGUGUUCCAACAGGUCAGUGAUCCCAGAAAUGAACUAAUGAAUGUAAAUAAACUCUGCUAUUUCUGCCAAGAAGAGUGGUCAAAUAUCCUGCCUGGAUUAUGCCAGAAGCUUGUUGAUGGCUACAAAAACCAUCUGAUCAAGGUGCAGCUUGCUAAGGAAUAUUUAACCAAAUAUUACUGCAAAUGUGCUUAUAUAUUUGAACCUAUAUGCGAAAUUUUGACCGCAGGUGUAUUAGAGAGAUACACCUGGGGUCAAACUUGUACACCCAAUUCUUGUUUUUUAAAGUCACUAAAGAUAUAUGCUGUACAAUUAUUCCACCUGGAAAAACAACAGCUCAAGGAAACCAUUAAAGCACAAAAUUACCGUAACAUUCAUUCCUCUGGUGAGUCUGUGUAAACUUCUGACCACAACUGUAUCUGGCUCUUGACGUAUUGCCCCUACUUGCAGCUACUAAACUGUAAAACUCCUCUUAGUUUGCUACUAAAUGGUUUAUUUUUGGUGCUUUUGCCUUUGCAUACAAGUUUUGUUUCUGAUUAGCUUAGUCAGGAUUUUUUUCCCCUUUACAUCAUGGACUAGAAGUAGUAAAUCCCAUUUUUAAAGGAACCAGGCCAGUAAAUGGAGUCACAGCAGUAAUAUUCACUGUAAGUCUACAAAGCAGCAGGGUCAACUCUUGCAGCUUUUCCACUGGACCAGUGUUGACAAGUCACUGUUUCUAUGCCAACAGUGUAUUCGGCAAAGGUGAUUUUGAAAUUGCCUUCAUGUUGAAUGUUAACAGGCAUUUAUAGGGGCUUUAAGUGUAUGUUUUAAAGCCCUAAAUACAUGUUGCUGAUAGAGAGGAAUCACAUGAGCUGUACAACCCCUGGCAAAAAUGAUGCAAUCAACACACUUAGAAGAUGCUCACUUGACUGUUUUUACUAGUAACGACUAAACAAAUCACAAAACUUUUCCUUUUUGAUCAAUAACUGAACAUUCUUGAUGCAUGAAAUUUACUCUGAAUAAAUAUAGUAAUUUUAGUUAAUGACACAUUUUUCCCCAAAUCCAGUAAACGAAAAACAGUCGGAACAUCUUUUAAUUUUUUUUCUCUAAAACAAAUAUAGACAAAUCUAAAUCUGCAAAAUAGUCUGCAGUUAAAAGAGAGUGUUUGCAGACCACAGUGAGUUGUUGUGCUUGAUGUAAUGAAAGGAAGCAUGGCUCUAACAAGAGAGCUGUCAGUUGAAACAAUGGAAAUGAUUAUACAAGUCUCUCAAGAAGGAAAUCCAGCAUGUUGGUUUUGCCUUUCAGCUUUGUCUAAAAUGGUGAGAAAUGGUGAGCAAGUAGAUUAAUUUGAUGUUGGAGUGAAAAAAAAUUGAAUCCCGGAAAUUGAACUUUGUUGCAACCAUUCAGGGUUUUAUGGUGGGUGGGCAAAUUCACUAUUUUUCAAUUUCCACCUUAAAUUUUUACUGAAGUUGAGAUCUGGACUGUUUGCUGGCUGUGUUAUUGAGCCGUUAUGCCUUUCCUGAUGGAAAGCUUUAAGGCUCUUUGCUCAGGGAAAUGAGAAAAAUGUCCAAAAUGUAAUUGUUCAUCUGUGCAUUUACUGUAGAGGUAAAGCUUGCCAUCUCCUUUGGAACUUUAGCUAACAUGACCCCGUAGCAUAAAUGAGUAGAGGAGAAUCUGUUUGUUUGCGCUUACAUCUUUUAUAUGUGUGAAAUUUCCAGAUAUAUAUUUUAUAGCCUUUCAAUUUAGUUUCUGCUUGGUCCAAAUGUUAAACACGGCUGACUGGGAGUAGUCAACAUAUUUUGCAAUACUCUGUGCUCCUGUUGGGGGCAUGCUUCCUUUAAAGCAAUCAGGUGCAACAGCUCAGCGAGGUCCGCCAUCGCAGACUAUUUUGCAUAUUUUGAUUUGUGGAGGUUUGUUUUAAUAAAGCAUAUUUCCUCUACCUAAACUUGCUAGGGUUUGUGCUUCUCAUUUUUUCUUGGUCCAUCAUUAAACUUCACCUCAACCAACAGUGGUGCUGAGCUAAGUUGCUGAUUUAAAGGCGGAAUCUUUCCCGAGCGAAGGACCCGGGCUCUUCUGUUCCUGCUUGUUUGACCACAGAUCAUUUAACCAACACAGCCUAUGGAUCAGCACUUAAAUCCAAAACUUAAAGCUGUACUGUAUUGAACUAUGUUGUAUCUUCUGGUUAAAGAAGGUCUGAUAGGAACAAAUCACAGUCACAUAAUGUUCUGUGUGAAUCUGUGUCCAUGAUUAAAACCUUGAACUGUC